Molecule: ribosomal RNA, 425 nt
Filed under: uncultured bacterium
Lineage: Bacteria
Description: bacterial SSU rRNA
Rfam family: Bacterial small subunit ribosomal RNA
Source: RNAcentral
GGGGAAUAUUGGACAAUGGGGGGAACCCUGAUCCAGCCAUGCCGCGUGUGUGAAGAAGGCCUUCGGGUUGUAAAGCACUUUCAGCGGGGAGGAAGGCGGUGAGGUUAAUAACCUCACCGAUUGACGUUACCCGCAGAAGAAGCACCGGCUAACUCCGUGCCAGCAGCCGCGGUAAUCCGGCGGGUGCAAGCGUUAAUCGGAAUUACUGGGCGUAAAGCGCACGCAGGCGGUCUGUCAAGUCGGAUGUGAAAUCCCCGGGCUCAACCUGGGAACUGCAUUCGAAACUGGCAGGCUAGAGUCUUGUAGAGGGGGGUAGAAUUCCAGGUGUAGCGGUGAAAUGCGUAGAGAUCUGGAGGAAUACCGGUGGCGAAGGCGGCCCCCUGGACAAAGACUGACGCUCAGGUGCGAAAGCGUGGGGAGCAAAC